CAAUAAGAGUGUUUAUGGCACUCUUCAAAAAAUCCAUACCCACCUUGUGUGCAACGUAAGGAGAAAAAAAGAAGAUGCGAGUCAUGGGGAAACCCAAGUCUUGCUCCCUUUCUUUUUUCUUUUCCACAUACACCUUUCUAUUAGUUCCUAUUGUCUGAAGCUGUUAGAGAAUGACUAAUUCUUAAACA
RNAcentral lists this unclassified non-coding RNA (188 nucleotides) under soil metagenome. RNAcentral describes it as "partial internal transcribed spacer 1". The record is from RNAcentral.